GAUCCUCAAACUUGCAAUUCGCGAGAUGAAAGGUGUUCGCCUAGCUUCUUCAAUGACUCGAUUGAUGUCUGGCUCCGAACUUGUAGCUUGAUGAAAUUUUGAUUUCAUUUCUUUUAAUUCCUGGCUAACCUUCCUCAUGGUCUCGAACUGGUCGAGGUUCUCCUGCUCGUAUUGAGCUGCAAGUUGUUCUUCAUCUCCGAGCUGUGUCUCUUCUUCCAACGUCUGAGCUACAUUAUUAGUAGCACCGGGAGUUGUUUGUCCGCUGGUUUCAUUUCGUGUAGCGGAACUUGGCGAGUUGAAUAUCCCUCUUCGGAUUCCCACAAGGUUUCCUGCACUUAAAGAGCGAACACGAGUUUGUAUAGUGUUGACGUUUUGACUAAGAGAUACCUGGGAUGUUUGCAACGUAUCGACGGCCUUUUCCACAUCCGAGAACUUUUGUGAUAUAUCCGACAUGGUUUGCUGCAUAGCUUUGAGGGUUUCGGCCAAUGAUGUCUCAACGGCGUCUCCUCCGGAUAUUGUUGCUUAUCUCGGAAGUGUAAUAAAGAAAAAAUCUGACCACUCAAGAAUCCUCUUUCCCCACAGACGGCGCCAAAAUGUUGAUGUCGGAUUCACACACUCAAGUAUUUUUAUUAGUAGGAAAGAUUAUUCUUGAGGGACAAAAAAUAAGAACGCAAAAGGCUUAUGAAUACAAAAAUUGCUAUCGUAUUUCUUGCUCAAAAGAGAGAUGUGUCCUUUACAUGGCCAUUGGCCUCCAUAUUUAUACAUAGAGAAACGACAUUAAAAUGAGUAAUUAAGUACAAUUAUUCCUUCUUAAAUGUGUCCGUUUUGAUUCCUUGACUUUAAUGCUCAACGUUUGAAUUUGAGUUGACUCUGAUCUUCAUGGGCCUCGCCUUUUUGGCCCAAGUGUCCUUGAACCGACUUACCCGUGUCUUCUACACCGAACUAAUGUCACAGUGCAGUCACUUCGGAUUCUCGAAGUGGUGACAACCACUUCAACCGUUCCUUCGGCUUCAUGGGUCCAAUGGGCUUUAUCCUUUAUGGGCCAUUAUCUUGACUACGUGGCAAUCUUUGGUUGGUCUCGGACUUCUGGUGCGGGAUCCGACACCAACAAGUAGAAUCUUUUCUCCGGCAGCAGCGGUGUGGUAUCUCUUCCUCUCGAUGUAGCUGUGGAUCCGGAUUGGCGGUAGAAAAGUUAUGUUCUCGAGCCACUGGUAGAGGACGCCGGAAGGUUGAGGGACAGAGACUCUCGUGGCUCAGCCGUCAAUUUGGCCGCUGCGGCUACAGCGGAAGUCGAGGGAAGAAAGGUGGGUUAUGCUGUUCGAUUGGUGGUUAGCUAUAGAUCCUGUGGAUCUUAGAUGGCGGUCGUGGAGGUCGGCUUCAGUGGAUCUGUUUGAGCCAUCGGUCCCUGGAUUCGCCACGAUUUGUCUCCACUAGUCUGAAUCGAAGGGUUCUUGCUUGGAGGGGUAGAAAUGUUCAGAUCUAGAAGAGAGGGGAUAGAUCUGGUUUGUCAGGUUGCUAGGUCGGGACCUGACAACGUAGUGCCGGUGUAUCGGAAGGUUAAGCAUUUCGGGAGAUCUGUAGCGGGUCAGGUGGCUCGUAGGAAAGGGAUCGAUGAUGGAAACCGGUUUCUUCCGUCGUUGAUUUUCGAUCCAGCGUUGCUACCACGAAGCCGUGGAGCUUGAAUCCGCCGGAACUAGUGCUUCCGACUCUCUGCCCACCGGGAAACAAUAGAAUCCGAUCUUCUUUUUUUUUCCUGGCACCGAUUUCUGGUCUCUCCAUUUUGUAACUGGACUAUUGUUGUAAUUGCCCAAACUCAUUUGCUUUUUGGAAAGUCCAUAAAAUUCUGGUUAAAAAAUAAAAAUAAAAAAAAACCGGAGCUAACGUGGUAGUAGUCUUUUAGUCAUAUUAUUCGUGAAAUCAAUUAUAAAAGCGAAAAUUUAUUAAUAACGUUCCUACAAAAAUUAAAUUUUAAUAUCUAAUGAGUAAAAAUGUCAAAAUUUAGUUGAUAUAGUUUAUUAUUAAUAUUCGUAAAAAUAUUCUCUAUCUACAUAUCUAGAACAUAAAUCUGUAAACUUGUUAUUUCAUAGAAUGGUUGAUAAAAUGAAGUUAUUGCCAAUAGUAUAAAAAUUGAUUAUAUCAAAAUUUUCUUUUCUUUUUCAGUGGUAAGAUAAAUAUUUUGACAAUCAAUCAAGUAAUUUCUUUUUAAUUUAAAUGUUUGGUUACCAGAAAUUUUUUUUUUGUAGUAGUAGUAGUAAAAUUCUCUAUAUUAUCUUUUGUUCGUCAAGAUGUUUAAUUAAAAGCUUUUUAAUCAAAAACAACAUGUUAAUUAAAAGUUUAAAACCUGAUUAAAAACCCUACUCCAAAAUUAUUAAUGUUCGAGGGAGGGAAAUUGGCCUGCGCAGCAGAAUGGGCCUUUUAUAACAGAAAUAGCACUGUGUUCAUUUUUUGUCGUUUUCCCCAAAGUUGCGCUUCGCUUGGUUCCGACGAAUCCACCGGCGACGAGCGAAAUUUCGAGAAUCGCGGCCGCGAGAAGUGCAAGGUCAGUGAAUACGAAGAUGACUAAAGAUGGACUCACAUUUCGGAUGUCGAGAGAAUCGGAGUCGGCUUCUCGACUUAAAUUCUUCAUCUCCGAUAUGCUUCCUCGCUUCACUGACGAUUACUCCGACGACCUCGCUGUUCGUCAUCUUCUUCUUUUUUCUUCAUCUUCCUCUUUGUUCUAGAGACGAUUCUUAGGUUUUUAGUUCGAUUUCCUUGGUUUUUACUUUUGCUCUUGUACGCACUGUUCUCUGCUCACAGAAGUAACAUUAUCUUCGUCGUCUCUCUUCAUGUGAAUUUUAUCCGACGGAUUUGAUAUCGGUGCUUGUCUUUUACUUUUUCCCUUAUUGUUUUGAUUGUUCGAUGGAAAUUUCUCUUGUAUGAGGUUAUGUUGCAGAAAUAUCUGAGUUACAGGAUCUGUAAUAGGUCUAUGUGUAUGUAAUCACUUUGUUUGGACUGAUUUCAUCUUGUUGAAUUGUAUAUUUGAUCUGUGGGAGCAGAAAUUGCAGGUUGAUGACUGAUUUUGUUUAAGAAUCAGGUGAUUUUCGUGUUUACUGAUGAAUCAGAUUGUUUCAGGAGUAUGUUACGGUGCUUGUUUGUAAUGGAAAGAAUCAGAGACAGGUAAGCGAAGAUUUGGAGGCAUUUCUUAGGGAGCAAUCUUGGAAAUUUGUUACCUGGUUUGUUAUUUGCAUCCCUUCUUUGUUGGUUUGAUACAGGUAUCGGUGACUAACAUGCGAUUUUGAUGUGUGUGUUUUCUUUUCAGCUUAUGGGAGCUUCUAGUGAACUACUUCUCUCAAAUUAAUUCUGCUUCUGGACCUAAGACUGCUGUUGACUUUGGCGUUAAUGAUACUCUAAUUGAACAAGGUUUAAGCUCCAAAAAGCAUGAUGAUUAUGAUUGCAAAGCUGCCGGUGCUACUAAUUCGAUGAAUGUAAGACUAGGACAUAUGUUUCUUUCAUAUGUGUGAAUGUUGCACCAGUUUUUGGUCACGGACUUAAUGUGAAUGGCUUUGUAGGAACAGCUGAUAUCAGUUACUGCUCCCAUAGAAGACAUCGAGGCUCCUGUAUCACCAAAAGUUGAAAAAAUGAAGGUGUUACGACAAGAGCUCAUUGAUAGCCCUUGUAGAAGGGCACAACGAAGAAAGAAAGAAGAUUGGAACUCGUCUGGUUACUCUAGAAAAAUACUGCGCUCGGUCAUCGUUUCAGCCACUAGGCAACCAUGUGAUAGGAAUCCUGCUAAAUAUGAAAAGGUUGGAAGGUUAAUAAUUUCUGGUUCUGAAUUGGUUUAUCAAUUGUUUAUGCAAUUUCCAUCUCUUAAUUGAUCCUUGCACAAAUAUGAAGCAGUCUAUGAAUGAAAGGAGUAGAAUCCUAAAGAAGCACCCAUACUUGCCAGAAAGAGAACUGGAUUCUCAGUUUGUUCCAAUAGGUACUAUUUUGCUUCUUGACAAGUUAUGAUCUUCUGAAGAUAUGACGAGUGACAUUUUUGCUCUAAUUAAAACGUCUCAGGAAGAGCUGUGUCUGCAAGAUACCAUGAUGCAUCUCCACACCAAGAAACGGCGCCUCAUGUUAGUGUCUGGGAUCGUUUGGGACGAGCAAGCUCCAAACGUGUUCUUGACUCAGAAAGCCGUACAUUGUCUAAGUCUGAUAUCAAGGCACAUGAAAACAAAGGGGUUCAGCAGCAUGGACCAGUAUUUCCUGAAGUGUAUAGUGAACAACAUAGCGAGAUAUUUCAAAGAGAAGUUCCUGCAGUUGGUUACAGGCACAGAGUUUCCCAAUCCGAUAAAGCUAGGAAACCUGAGAGUGGAAUUAUCACAUCCACUGAACCGCAUAUUGCAUAUAACCUGAACAGAAAGAGGCGUUAUGGCAUCGUCAACCCCAAUUCAGGAGAGUUUAGCAGUGUUCUCCAAUAUAAGCAAGCUGAAGAGGAUGUUGAAAAGCCGAGCCUUCUCUCCUAUCAGUCCACAAAGCCAGAUAUCUUUUCAGUACGUUAUUUGAUAGUUAUGCUUUAUUGCUGUCAUUCAUGUGACUAUUGAUUCCUCACAUUUCAAAUGAUGCUGUUCUUCUUUCUUUUAUCAGGAAAUAAAGAACGUGAAAGAAAAGAUGCAAGAACUAGAACUCCGAAUUAUUCAAUCAAAGCAGUUGAAGAAACAGAAAAUUGAAGAACUCAAACCCUCACCACAAUCUGGUAUGGAAACUCUUAUGUUUUGGAGCAGCUAACAUUUCCCCUUCAUUUAUAAUAAGAUAUUUCCGCUUAACUACUUCCCUGACUGUCCUGCUGCCUCGUUGCAACUUCUUUCCAGGCGAAUCACAGUAUCAGCAAGAUGUCACAGAAUCAAGAAUCAUACAUGUUACUAACGUAAGUCUACAGGGUUUCCUCUUAUCUUUUGUUUGUGCAGUCUAUUUCCUUAUUACACAUGAAUCUAAGAUUGAGAAAUAGUCCAAUUCUCUCGAAUGCAUUCUAAUUUUGAAACUCACUAACACUUAAAAAACAUCUGGAACUCAUCUAAAUAACUUCUCAAUGAACUUAUCAGGUAAACUAUGCAGCAAAGAAAGAAGCUAUAUCAAUGUUCUUCAGCAGCAAGUGUGGAGCUGUCGAAAACGUGACAAUUGUAACUGAUCCAGUAACUCGGCAUCCAAAGGGGUAAAAUCCUCUCUUCCUCAUAAUUUCUUGUUCGUUGCAAUAGACUACGCACAAAGUCACUUUUAAGCAAGAAAUCGUCCUUAUUGCAAAUAAAACCUUCCCUUCUCCAGUUCUGCUUUUGUGACUUUUGCUACAAAGGAGUCAGUUAACCAAGCAAUAGCUCUGAGCGGCACAAUGUUCUAUUCAAGACCUAUCAAGGUUCACUUCAAUUCUUCUCUAUCUAACAAUAUUACUUCUUUCUGACUCAACCCAAGUUAUCCAACUUCUCUAUUUUUCAACAUUCCAGGUUGGGAGGCACAUGAUAGCUUCUGGAGUAGUGUCAGCACCACAGAUAGUUACUGGAAGUUAAACCAAAAGGAAUGGUAAUACACAAAGAGCCUAAAUACAUCACCUUAACGACACCGUUGUACAGUCCCUCCCUACAAUAGGACACAAGUGAAAGUCACAAUCAGUUACUCUUUGAUCAGAUUUUAGCUCACUAUGAUCAAAUUUUCUGUCCGUUUACGUUUCAUGGGACAGAAACUUAGUGGAAAAUGAUGAAUUGACUGAGAAAAGCUAAUAACGAAGAGAAGAGAAGAAAUGCUAAUAAGCAAACACUUGUUGGGACACAAGGUUCCCACAUUCGAUUUCUUCUUAAUACACAAACGAAAAAAGAAAAAUAAAACUAGAAAAUCAGUAAGUCUAAAAUGGUGGUGGUGGGGUUACUUACUUCUCCUAUCAUGAGAAAACAAAAUACAUUUCAGAUUUUUAUAGAUACACAAACACACACGGAGACACAUACUGACACACAAACUUAUAUCUAAAGCCCUUUUUCUUAUAUCUUCUUCUUCUUUCUCUCUUUGUUAUUUGCUUGAGGGGAGGAUUAUUUAGUCAAUCGUCAUCGGCUGGCUCAAGCAACAUCUGAAACGGGCUUUUCUCGCUGUCGUCAUUAUCUCUGUUUCCGCAGCUUCAAGCAGCUUCACAACCUCCACAAAACAUGGACGGACUUCUGGAUUAGCAUCCCAACAUCUAGUCAUGAUGUCACUCAGCACCGGGAGACAAUCGUUUGGGACUGUUGGACGCACUCCUCGGUUUACAACCGCAAACGCUGCCUGUACAGCAGUCAUGUUCUGGAACGGUAAUAGUCCUGUGAUUAACUCCCACAGCACGAUCCCGAAACUAUACACAUCCACUUUUUGAUUGUAGGCUCUAUGCUGUAUCAUCUCUCUGCAUCAACAGAAACAUAGUUUAUAUUAAUGUAAUUUGCAGAAGCUAAGAACGCAAAAAAGGGUGAAAAAUAUCACAAGUCCCUUUGGAAACUUACGGAGCCAUCCAUCUGUAAGUUCCGGUUUCUGGUGUCAUUCCUUCAGUUUGAACUUCAAUUCUUGCAACACCAAAAUCUGCAAUCUUGAUGGACUUAUCUGCUGAGAUGAGAAGGUUAUCUGACUUGAGAUCUCUGUGUAUGAAGUUGCGUCCAUGGACAUAAGCCAUACCCCUAGCAACAUCCAAAGCCUGUUUAACAGCUAACUUCAAAGGGACGGCUCGGUUCUGUCUCUUAGUCAAAAACUGCCUCACUGAACCUCCUUUGGCGUAUUCAGUCACUAUACACCACACCAUUGGCUUGCGACACGCACCAAUGAACCUCACGAUGUUUGGGUGCUUCAAAUUGGCAAGCAUAGACACCUCUUGCUGAAACUGCUGCUCCAUGAACUGUGCCUUUUCUGGGCUGUUCUCAGGCCGCUCCAGUAUCUUGAUUGCUACAUCUUCCCCAUUGUAAGUCCCUUUGUACAAUUUACCAAAAGCCCCUUGAGCAAAGGCAGGACCCAUGUUGAGGUUCCUCAGAUCAAUCGUCCACUCAUCAUAGUUUGCCAGCCCUUCGGUUGGAUACCUGGUAUCCAUCAGUGCUUGAGCCAAGGCAUCAUCAUUCAACGCAUGGGUAACUCUUCCCGGGCGAAACACGCUUUGUCCAACCGAGAGUGAGUAAUGGCGCACAGGCUUCAAACCAGGGUGGCCAAUAAGAGCAUCGCUGGAACCAACACUACUGUUAUCCACAGACAUUGAGACAGAUCCUCCAGCGUUACUCGUCUGCAUACUCUCCAUGGACAUGUUUGAACCUUCAUUAAGUUUCUGAUAAAACUCUUGCGUAAAAGCAUAGUAAUUGUUGUCAUUGUUGUGAUGAUUCCCAACAGCAAGCACGUUGAACUUUGCUCCCUCAAGCAUCUUCCCCCAAUCUAGGAUUUACUUGUUACGAAUUCUCUGACCAAACUGCAAAGACACACAAAUAAAAUCUUUAGACUAAAAGAUAACACAAAAAAAGAAGCAUUACCUCAAAACUGGAAACAAAUGACUCAUCCACAGAACUAGUCAUCAGUAAAAUGAUCUUACUAUCCUCAAACAAGAGAGAAGAGACAAGUACACCAAAAACAACAACUUUUGCUCUCAAAGACCAUGCACAUCCCCAAAUUAAGAAAGACGAGCUAUUCAGAACAAAGAAACCCAAGUACACCAACUUAGGUUAACUAUUUACCAUAAGAUUCGAAAACUUUCAUCAGCAGAAUCAAUACCCAUUACAGAAAAAGCAAAGUUGAUGACUUUAAAGUCCUAACAGAGAUAAAGCUACAGAUCAUGACUCUGAACCAAAAACCCACAAAAAAAAACACAGAUCCGAUGAAUCAAGUACUCUAAAAGAAGAAAUUAAGGUUUACCUAGAGCUUCUAAGCCCAAUAAAACAGACGAUUACACGGAAGAACACAUGAAAGAAGCUUCCUUCUCACCCGAUGAGUAAAAGAAUCGAAGAUAGUGAAAUUACAAACCCUAGUUCAUCGAAUCGCAAAACCCACAAAACGAUUUUUUCACCUCCGAAUCAAAAAUCGAAUCCAGAGGUUAUGAUGAAAUCAGAAAACCUAAGAAAUGAACGAUGAAUAAGAAGGAGAAGAAGAAGAAGAGUCUCUCAGUCGUCGUUUCCCAUUUACUUUCUCAGCUUUUGAUUUUUUGGUUUUUCCUUCCUUUUUUGUUUAUUUUAAUUUUGAUCCGUCCUUUAUUGCCAAAUUCUUUUCUCAACAACACUCUCACUUACAGAGAGUGUAUUACACGUGCUUUGGAAUAAGACACGUGGCUGAUUUCGGUUCGGUUUUACGAGGUUGUCGUAUGAGGCGGCGCGUUGCCGCUUUUAAAGCUACGGUUACAGUAGUCUUUUCUGAUUCACGCUUGUCCUCCCGUCUUUACACAAUUAUUAUUAAUUUGCCUAAACCAGCAACUUUUUUUUUUCCGUUUUAUUUCUUUCUCCUCUUUUUCCUCGAAAACGUCCAUUUGUUUUUCUUAUAUAUAAAAAGAAUCUCGUAUUUUUAAAUUUUUUAAAAAUUACACGAAAUAAAAAAAAUUAGAGAAUAAUUUAUUUAGGGAAAAUUACGAAAAAAAUCUAAAAACAAACCCAAAUUAUUAAUCUAGGCCAUAUCUUUUAGAAUUUAAGAUGUACACUAACAAAGACAAAAUUAGCCUUAUGAUAUGAUUUAACAUAAUAACAAAUUACAGCCACGUUAGUUAGAGAUUUUUUUAAAAUUUUUAUUUUUAUUGAUUAUGAUAAAUUUUGAAGAUAAAAUCUGAAGAAUAUGCCAAACUAAUCUAGAAUAAUUUUUAAUAAUAUAACUCUAAAUUAACGUUUAUAAUUCUAUCUAGCCCACGUUAGUUAGAGAUUUUUUUUGAAUUUUUAUUUUUUAUUGAUUAUGAUAAAAUUUGAAGAUAAAAUCUGGAGAAUGUGCCAAACUAAUCUAGAAUAAUUUUUAAUAAUAUAACUCUAAAUUAAUUCCCUAAUCCUAUGUGAACUAUGUUGUUAGUUACGUAUAUAUAAGUGUUUAUCAAACCAAACUCCAUUAAAAAACGAUUUGUCAGUUCUAAAGAAAAGUAAGUAUUGUGCAUAGUUUCAUAUUCUUUAUAACGUUUAUGUACAUAAAUUUCUUGCAAAGUUAUUUAAAGAUGCAGUCUUUGCUAAAGUUCUUUGAAAAAGUUAUUUAGUAGAGUAUAAUAUAGAAAGUUUUGCACAGUUAUUAUAUAAAAUUUAAUAUAUAUUUGUUUGGUAAAGUUUGUUGGAAAACUGUUACGUAGAUCUAGUUUAAUAGAAUUAUUAGGUAAAGUUAUUGAGAAAAGUUGUUAUGUGUUUUACGUAGAUCUAUGUACGUGCAUGAGUUGUUGUUAUUAGGAGCGUAUUUAAGUUAUUCCAUGAAGAGUUGUAACGUAGAUCUAGUUUUUUGGAAAACUGUUUUUGCAAACUGUUGUAGAUCUAGUAGUAAUGAGAAAAUUUUGAGUUGUUGAUAGUUGUUUGGUAGAUCUUUAAGUAUAUUUGUUUAAUAAAGUAUUUCAAUAUAGUUAAUUAUCAAGUUUUUUCAUAAAUUUAGUUUCACACAGUUAUUAUAUAGAUCUUAAGUAUAGUUGUUCCUUAAAGUUUUAAGGUAAAGUUAAUUUACAAAUUUUUCUAAUAAUUUAAUUGCACACGAUUAUUAUAUAGAUUUAAGAAUACAGUUGUUUGCUAUAGUUUUUAGGUAAAGUUAAUUUGCAAAGUUUUCUAAUAAUUUAGUUUCACACAAUUAUUAUAUAGAUUUUAAGUAUAGUUGUUUGCUAAAGUUUUUAGGUAAAGUUAUUAUGUAAAGUCAGUUUCGUAAAGUUAUAAUGUAGAGUGUGAAACUAAUUUGUAAAUUUUUUUUUCCACAGAAACAUGGUACAUACAAUUGCAAUUGCAGUUUUUGGUGAUUGGGCGCUAAAGAACGUAUGGCAUUUUACAGUAGAUCAAACCAAGGGCUGCAAAUUACUCGUUCUAGUGGAUGAUAUGUCGUAUGCCGGACUACUUCAGAUAGCUAAAGAAGAAUACCAGUUAGAUAGUUCAGUGCAUAAUGUUGAACUUAGUUAUGCACUACCUGAGAUAAUGUUAGGCAAUAUGUCAAAUGAAACGCCUCCUCCUGUGUUUCUGACAAGUGAUCGACAAGUAAGGAGUUUCAUUGAAAUUAGCAAAUCUAACCCUGUCCGACUUUGUGUUUCAGUGAAAAGAAAAGGCGAAGAGAAUCGUAAAGUUUCGCUCGUCAAUGAGUAUUUGCUACGAGUGGUGAGAAUCAUAAAGUUCAGGUCGCUGAUGAGUUAUUUGUUACUCGUGGUGAAAUUAGAGAUCAUGUUGAUCUUGGUGAUCAUUAUGAUAAAAACGAUGGUGGUGACAACAACAAUAUUCUUUCUUCUAACAACACGGACAUUAAAGUGGGUGAAUACUUUAAGAGCAAAUAUGAAAUACAGCAGAGGUUGUGGAUGCUUUUAGUAAAAUAUAAGUUUGGCUGGAGAGUUUCAAAAUCAGAUCCUACAAAGCUUGUUGUUGUGUGCAAAAAUAAUGGGUGCUCUUGGAGGGUGCGAGCAACCACAAAGGAUGAAACAACAGAGUAUUUCUGGAUUAGAAAGUACAUUGAUGUGCAUACAUGUUCUGCUGAACAAAGAAGUUUUGCACUAGGAUCAAUUACACCGAAAGUUAUAGGCCAACUCAUAUUGGAUCUUUUUGGUGGUAUUAGCAAUGGAUUGAAACCAAGGGAUUUGGAGAAACCAUUACUUAAAAAUUAUGGUUUAACGCUAACUUAUCACCAACUUUGGGAUGCUUUAGAGCAAGCUCGUGAAUUGAUGAGAGGUUCUCCUGAAAGUGGUUAUGAGCAGCUCCCUAAGUACAUCUACAAGAUAAAGAAAGCAAAUCCUGGUACAAUUGCCUACCUAGAGCUUGAAGGUAACCAGAGAUUUAAGUACUUAUUUUUUGCCCUUGGUCAAUGUUUAAGAGGAUUUGAAUUUAUGAGAAAAGUAAUCGCAGUGGAUGGGACGUUUCUCAAAGGAAAGUUUAGGGGUACUCUCAUAGUUGCAACUGCUCAAGAUGGAGAUAAUCAUAUAUAUCCUAUUGCAUUUGGAAUUGUUGAUUCCGAGAACAACGCAGCUUGGGAAUGGUUUUUUUCUCGUUUGAAAUCAGUUAUCCCUGAUCAUCCUGAUUUGGUGUUUAUCUCUGACAGACAUGAGUCUAUUGAAAUAGCUAUUGAAAAGGUGUUUCCCUCUGCAAAUCGUGGGAUAUGCUUCUUUCACCUUGAGAAAAACAUCAAAACCAAUUUCGGAACAAAUCAAUUAUUUCACUUGGUUACGAAAGCUGCAAAUACUAUUUUACGUGAUGACUUUACCAAUGUCAUGGAUGAGAUACGUCGUCUUAAUCCAAAGCUGAGCAAAUACUUGGAAGAUGCGGAUAUUCGAUUAUGGUCUACGGCUCAUUUCCAAGGAAACAGGUACAACAUCACCACAACUAACACUGCCGAAUCAAUCAAUGGACUUUUGAAAGAUGCAAGAGAGUACCCCAUCGUAGCUUUUCUCGAUCAUGUGCGGGCUACUCUAACUCGCUGGUUUUGUGAGCGUCGAGAAAAAGCUGCAAAACUUGUCACAGAACUUGGACCAUAUGCUGCCCGUGAAAUUGAGAAAAUACGUGAAGAGGCAAACACACUUGCGGUGCAGCCUAUAAAUCUAAAUCAGUUUCAUGUGACUGGUGGCUCACAAGACGCUGUAGUUGACAUACAGAAAUUGAGUUGUUCAUGUCGUGCGUUUGAUAUAAAGAAGAUUCCAUGUAUGCAUGCCAUUGCAGUUGCUACGAAAAAACAGAUUCCUGAGCACACGCUCUCAGAUCCUUGCUACACGAGAGCUUUUCUAUUUGCUGCAUAUUCUGAGUCCAUCUAUCCUGUUCAAGGGAUUCUUAAUGAUAUCCAAAUACCAUCUGAAGUUGAAAAAAGUCAGUGUUUACCUCCUCAAGGUCGACGUCGUUCAGGUCGACCGAAGAAAAAAAGAAUCCAAUCCUCAUUAGAGAUUGCAAUGGAGAACAAGCGACCACGAAAAGAGCACAAGUGUUCAAGAUGCAAGCUUCCUGGACAUAAUAAAAAAACAUGUGAAACGGCGUUACCAUGAAAUGCUUCUUGUUAUGUUUUUUUUUUUUUUUGUCUUUUUCUCAUAUUUUGGUUUCUUUUUGGUGUUCCUUGAAUGAAUUCUUUUUUUAUUUUUUAAAAAUUUGUUUUAGCAAUAUUUGUCUUCUAAAAAAUUCUUUUUUUUUGGAACACCGCUGCUUUUUUCUUAAUUUCUUGUUUCCCAAGGUAUUAUGCCUUCCCCAUUGUGACUCCUAACUAUGUUAGUUAAGUCGUAAAAUUUCCAAUGGAGAAUGCUCAACGCUCCAUUCAUGAAUGUUACUAUAUGGUUUGAUAAAAUUAGAAUUUUAUCCCUAGUUAGAAUUUGGUAAAUGCAACUUGUGAAAAGAGAAAAACAGUUUCUGUGUUGAUUACUUAAGUAAUUUUUUAUACAUUAAUAACUCAAUAUACUGAAAUUUUUUGGACAAUUCUCUAAACUACCAUAUUUUUUAGUUUUGUUUCUUAAAUACCACUAGUGUUUUUCUAAUAAUACAACAAAUUCAAUAUUAAAAUGAAUCAAAAUCUCUUUUAAAUGGUGGAAAUAUAAACCUUAAAUUGGAAAUAGCUAGGGAACCCAGAUUUAUUUUUAAAUUUUAUUUGUAUUUCAUUUUGGUUGAACAAAUAUUUUUAUACAAAAAUUUGUUGUAUUAUUGAGAAAAUAAACUAGUAAUGGUACUUUUGGAACAAAAACAUAAUAGUGUGGUAUUUUAGAGUAUUUAAAAAAAAAUUCUAAUCUCGAAUUAAUAUUUGUAUCCAUCUUUACAAAUUAAUAAAAAUAUUAUAAUUCCAACAUUAAGUUUUAUUGUAAUGUUUGAGAUUUCUAAAACAAAAUUAAGAGACUAACGAAUAUUUUCCUCAAACUUUUUUUUUUGUCAACCACACAUUAAUUAAAAAAUCACUCCAUCAUUGGUAGCCACGAAAAGUGUUUACAAAUGAAAUUUCCAAAAGUAAACUUUUAGAAUAACGGACUAAGCAAUCUGCCUUUCCUCGAACUUUUUUCUAGAGCCGACAUUCAAAAAGAUCAGAGUUAGUUCCAAAUCUGUCAUACAUGUCAGAGAUUGAUAUGUUUCUUUAAAGUUAGUUGUUUGUUAAUAAGAACUAACACGUAUGAAAAUUUUCACUCUACGGUUUCCCUUACAUUAAGAUCGCUUCAUCUUCUUUUGUCUCUUUUCCCAAAAGUUGCAAUGUAAAUGCUCCAAAUUUGCCGUACAUGUCUGAGAUUGAUAUGUUUCAUUACAGCUAAUUGAUUGUUCACAGGAAUUAACACGAAAGAAGAAUUUUACUUUACGGUUUCCCUAGCAUUAAGUAUUAUUUUUAAAAUCUUGUUUGGUCUCUUCUAGGGGUGUCAAAAUGGAUAAACCGAUUCAAGCCGAUCCAUAAUCCAAUGAGUUUAGGCUUAAAUGGUUUAUGAGUUGAUCCAACUCAUUUGUUAAAUGGAUUGAGUCAAUCCAUUAAUCCAAUUAUUUGAUGGUUUAAUGGUUAAAUGAGUUAAUCCAUGAAAAUAAAAUAAUUAAUUAAUUAAUAAAUAUUAUCAUCAUAUAAUGCUACAAAUAAUAAUUAAUGACAUAAAUGAGUUAUGAUAUCACGUUUUUGGCGGGAAAAUCACGGAAUCACGUUUUCGUGGGAAAAUCCGGAAUCACGCUUUUGGCGGGGGAAAAUAUGGAAUCAUGUUUUUGGCGGGAAAAUGUGGAUCGCUUUUUGGCGGAAAAAUGCGGAAUCAUGUUUUUGGCGGGAAAAUGUGGAAUCAUGUUUUUGGCGGAAAAAUGCGGAAUCAUGUUUUUGGCGGGAAAAUGUGGAAUCACAUUUUGGCGGGAAAAUACGGAAUCACGUUUUUGGCGGAAAAAUACGAAAUCAUGUUUUUGGCGGGAAAAUGUGAAAUCACUUUUUGGCGGGAAAAUCACGGAAUCACAUUUUGGCGGGAAAAUUUACGGAAUUGCAUUUUUGGCGGGAAAAUGUGGAAUCACUUUUUGGCGGGAAAAUCAUGGAAUCACAUUUUUGGCGGGAAAAUGCGGAAUCACGGUUUUGGCGGGAAAAUAGGAAAUCACGUUUUUGGCGGAAAAAUGUAGAAUCAUAUUUUUGGCGGGAAAUGCGAAAUUCCAUUUCUAGCGGAAAAUUUUACGGAAUUGCAUUUUUGGCGGGAAAAUGUUGAAUCACGUUUUGGCGGAAAAAUUUAUUUCAUGGAUUUAAUAGUUAAAUCAUGUCUACAUUGGUUUAUUAAAAUCAGUUUUGACAUUUGAUUUGAUUAUAUUUGGUUUAGACAUUUGAUUUAGAAUGUUUAAUUUUUAUUGGUUUGGUUAUGAGUAAUCCACUAAUCCAUUCUAACAUAAACCAUUUCAAUCCAAUUCAUUAAACUCACUAAUCCAUUAAAUCCAUUAAUCCAUUAGUAUCCAAAUUUCUCAUUCAUUAUAUCUAUGGAUUGGAUUGGUUUGGAUUGAUCCAUUAACUUUUAUCCAUUUUGACACCCCUAGUCUCUUCUCUCCUAAUAGUUAAGACGCAAAUGCUCCAAAUCUACCGUACAUGUCAGAGAUUGAUCGGUACCUUUAAAGUCAGUUGAUUGUUCAUAAGAAAAAACACGUGUCAAGAACUUCAUUCUACGGUUUCCUUGCAUUGUUUAUUUUUUUCUUUUGUUUGUCUCGUUUCUUCCAGAAUUUAAAACACAAAUGCUUCAAAUUCGGCAUACAUGUUAGAGAUUGAUAUGUUCCCUUAAAGCCAACUGUUUGUUUGUAGGAAACAAGACGUGUGAAUAACUUUGCUUGACGGUAUUCCUUGAAUCAAGUAUUCUCGUGAUAUCUAUUUGUAUAUUCCCUUUUAGUACUUAAAACGUAACUGCUCAAAAUCUAUCGUACAUGUCAGAGAUCGAUCUAUUUCAUUAAAGUCAGUUAUUUUAAUAAGAAUGAAAUAACACGUUUGGAGAAUUUCACUAUACGGUUUUCCUUGAAUUAAGUUCGAUUGAACUUCUUUUGUCUCUUUUCUCCCAGAAGAAAACAACGUAAAUGCUCCAAAUUUGUCGUAUAUAUAAGAGAUGGAUAUGUUCUCUUAAAGUUAAUUGAUUGUUCACAGAAAAUAACAAGUGUGACGAACUUCACUUUACGGUUUUUCUUGCAUUAAAUAUUCUCUUAAUCUCGAUUUGUCUCUUCUCUUCAAAUAGUUUAGACGCAAAUGAUUCAAAUAUGUCGUAUAUGUCAGAGAUUGAUAUGUUUCUUUAUAGUCUACUAUUAGUCAUAAGAAACUACACGUGUUAAGAACAUAUCUCUAUUGUUUCCUUUGCAUUAAGUAUUCUCUUGAUCUUCUAUUGUCUUUUUUUCUUUCUCUUGAUCUUCUAUUGUCUCUUUUUCUUUCUCUACUAGUUAAGAUGCAAAACUUUAUAAUUACUUCUUUCAACCAGCAAUUACUACAUUUGAAUUCAGAGUUAUGUUUUUUUGUUCUACUAAGUCAUAGUUAACUUACAUCUUUAGAUAUUGAAAGUUGUUGAUUCCAUUAGGAGUCUAGGAGAACCACACUUCCAAAUGGGGAUCCAAAACAAUAUUGUUUAAAUGACAUUAGUAAAAACUAAAAACAAACUUAUCAGAUACAAGUAUUUGGGCCGGCCCAAUAGAUUUGGGUGCCCAAAGCAUUCUUAAGCCCACACAUUUAAUAAAGUCACAAAACAACAGAUUAGGGAAUCGAACCUUGCACCAAAAAGACAACUACCUAGGGGCUAACCACUUCACUACAUAAUAUUUUAUAAAAGAGUUACCCUUUACUACUAUAUAUAACUUUUGGCGCCUAAAGCAAGGGCUUUACCAGCUUUAGCUCAGGGCCGACCCUAAUUAUUUCCGCUGCAGUAUUGUUGGUUAACCUUAAAUGCCUAAUGUUUUAUGCAUCAAGGAUUUUAUAUAUGCAUGUUGUUUUCAUUUAAUUCUUAGAGUAUAUUUUAGAGCAUUGUCAUAAGUUACAUUCAUUGAUUAAGUUAUAUUAUAUGAUUUACUAUUUUACUUAUAGUCCAUAAUUUGAUAUGCAAUCAUAAAACAAAUUAUCAAUAUUUUUUAUUUGAAUAAUUAAGAAGUUUUGGGCCUAGGCCCGUACAUCCCUUCAGACAAUAGACCAGAGUAUCUUAUAUGAUCUCUUCCUAAGUAUAAUCCAUAUUUUAUUUAAAUAAAAAAGAGUUCAAAAUUCAAUUUACCAUUUUGCUCAUUUAAGUACUCACACAAAACAAAUAGAUAAAACAAUAAGUCAUUAUUUUUCUUAACAUAAGCUCGAUUGGAUUGGUUUGUAUUGAUAAAAACAAAUGUUGAUAUUAGCUUGGGUUUGGUAGAUGAAUAAUCCUUAGGCCCAAAAAAACGGACAACUUCAAUGACCACAACAAAAUUUACUUAAAAAUGAGUAUGUGUAACAAAUGUGAGAGAAGUAAGCUAAAUCAUAUGCAUAACACGCAUCUAUUAAAUGAUCCUCUCAUAGUAUAUUUCGUAGAAUAAAACCAUUUAUAUAUUUGCUUCUUUUUUUCCAAAUAUUUGGAUAUUCAUCAUUGGUUACUUUCGAAUCGAUCUGCAGUAAAAAAAAAAAUAAGUAAAAAAGUAUAUAUAUAUAUAGAAAUUUUAAACUUACUGCUUCCAUAGUUUCGACUAAUUAGUUUUUUUUUUCUUCUGUGUCGUCGCAAAUUAGGGUUUUAGUUAAUAAACAGUCCCAUGAUAUAUUUGUCUUUGAAUUUCCUCGUCACUCAUUUAAUUUACACAGCAGAAGCUACUCUCGGUGAUAGCUAUGUCGUCCCGGAGAAAAGAAGAUACGAAGAGAAAGAGAGAAACAAAAUGGCGACAAUCGACAAACAACUGAAGUUUGCAGCUGACAUCCAAGUGAUGGUUGCAGCUGAAGUUCACUUCGGAACUAAAAAUUGCAAAUACCAAAUGAAACGUUAUGUCUUCAAGCAACACAAUGUUGUAAAAUUUUCUCAUCAUCUUUGAUCAGAGCAUUGAGAAUUUUGUGUUGAUUAGCCCGAUUUAAUUUGUUCAAUUGAGUAUGAAUGAUCAAAUUGAGGUUUCUUAUAGAAUGAUUUGCAGCAUAUUUCUUGUGGUUUCUCUAUGUUCUUGUGAUUGUACUCAGUCUAGUGGAACGUUUGUUGUUAGUUAUUUACAUCUUCAACCUUGGGAAAACAUGGGAGAAACUUCAGAUGGCUUGCUAGAUUUAUUGUUGUUAUCGAGAACUCGUAAGACAUUAUUGUUCAAUCAGCUAGAGCUUCUUGACAUAGAGCUGUGUUGAAGUUGCUCAACACACUGGUGUUAAUGCCAUUGUUGGAAGACACACUUUUGGUACAUUCACCAAUCAAAUGCAAACGUCCUUCAGUCCUGAACAGAAGUGGGUUGUCAUUGUAAGAGUAGGGGAUAUCAUUUUUUAUGUUUAUCUCUUACAAGGGUGGUACAAGUCGAUAAUGUUUUCGGAUUGUUCACGUUUGGUAUGUUUGUGUUGUAUAGAUGGACCUGUUCUUUUACAGGGUACCCGAGGAGCUAGGCCAAGCAAUUGGAGUGGUCGGUGGAGACCAAUGGACCACUGUUCAAAUCACGGAUGCUGCAUGGCUAGUAGAAGCUUAGCAACCAAUUGUUGCUGCUCCCGCUGCUGCUUCGUGGAGUGAUGCGAGUGGUUAGUUGACUAUAUCUAAGAUUUACCAUCUAAAUUUGUAUUAGAACUGAAUAUGAUCUUAUAUUAUAAAUGGUUCUUCUUAGUCUCUCCCGGAGCAGAUGGAUGGGACACAGCUGUGCCACCUCCAGCCGCUGGUUGGGAGUAAAUGUUUUUGUUCCUGGUUAAAAUUGAGUAGCUUUUGUUUUUUUUACAUGUUUCUCGUUAAAAAACUUAUAAAAUCUUUUACGGCUCUUUUUGUCAGUUUCAAAUGAUUAUCUUCUAUAUUAUCCUUUUGGGGUUACGAUUCUUUACUAAGAUCCCUUACAUUAUGCAAUGAUUUUACUUAUCAUUUUCAAAGGUUCUUAGAAUUAACUAACCAGUCGUCACAUAAAGAACAUGCAAAAACAAAUAAAGAUAUAAGUAAACUAGUCUGUAUCCAUCAAAUUUCUUCUGUUUUCUCAAUCAAUUUUUCUCAAUUACUUUUAUAGUCUUUCAAGUAUAAUCAAAGUGUUUUUCCGUAUUAUUUUCUGCAUUGAACUUGCUAGGUAAUUCGGUUUCUUUCGAGAGUUUCUCAAAUGUUACGGUAUUGGGUUAUUGCUAAGCCGAAGUAUGUUUUACCCAUCACUGAAAUAACCUUAUGAUAUAUAUUACACAUUUUUAAAAAAUUGCAACACUUUGUUUUAGUGAAAUGGUGAUACCUAAGUUUAUGGUCUUUGUCAUGUUUGUUGCUAUACCUCGAUCUAAGGACUGCAUUAUCUUUGACAUGUUUUGUUAACCUUAGCAGCAUGUAAUAAAGGAUCAGUUCCUCCAUACUGAACUACAUAUUAAGUUACAUUCAUAAGCAAGAUCUGUACAAUUUUAACACUUUCUCCACAAGGGAAAGACACUCUAUUGCAUCUCCUUAUACUACGAGCAUGCAAAUUGAGGAUUCAUGGUUGUUGUCUAUGUAAGUAAUAUCUGAAUCAUGCAAUUGCCUCUUCUUGUGUGUAGAUCAGUUUUUCCUUGGAAACCAAACUUACUGAGGCACUGAGAUAGAAGCACCACUCAUAUGUUCCUGCAAAAUUUUAGUGAAGAAGAAAUCAGUAGAUGAGUAUAGUAAUAGAUUCGAGUUUCGGAUUUUAGCUAUUAUCGGUUCUCACCAGUUUCAAAGAACUUUGGCUACCAGUUGGAGAUGGUACAAGGCUAUUGCUGACUACUACAGAAUGUGAUGAUUCGUCAGCAAGUGUUCUUAAUCUGUUUAGCUCAGGCAAUAUGACUUUAGCAAGAUCAGGUCUGUCUUUUCUCCUUAGCUCUGCACAUUUAAGAGCUAAUUUAGCAAACUCUUCUGUGUCUUCCAUUGGCCAAUCAGAAACAGCUGGAUCAAGUAAAUCAGCCAAAGUUCCUUUCUCGAGUGCUCUCUCGACAUAAUGGGUUAGCCCCAUUGGUGGUUUUGCUGUUAUCAACUGCAGAAACAUAAUGCCGAGUGAGUAAAUGUCGGAUUUCACACCCAACAUUCCUGUUUGCUGAUACUCUGGAUCGAUGUAACAGAACGUGCCCGCGGUUGAAGUCAUUCGGUACUGUGUCACCGUGUCUGCAACCGAUGGAGGGACUAGCCUGGCUAAACCAACAUCAGAAAUCUUGCUGACGAAGUUACGGUCUAGCAAGAUGUUUCCUGGUUUGAGAUCACGGUGAACUAGAGGCUCAGGUUUAGCCUGGUGCAAGAACAACAGUCCAGUGCCAAUCUCAGCAGCAAUUCUGAACCUCAUCUGCCACGAGAGAGGUGGGCUGUUUCCUAAUCUGAAAAGACGAUCUUCUAAGCUUCCGUUGGCCAUGAACUCGUAGACUAAACAUCCACAUUCCGGGCAUGCCCCAAGAAGUAGAACCAUGUUAGGAUGCCUAAUGCAGCUCAAUACCUCAACCUAUGUUUCAAACAAAAUCUCAAAUGAGAAAGAAACAGAGGAAUAAGGAGAAAGUGAUGUGAGUUUAUUACAAGAAGUCAUCACCUCUUGUUGGAACUGAGAUCUUCCUUGAGCUGCAUCAGGACGAAGAACUUUAACAGCCACUGGUGUAUGAUCAAGAUAACAUUUGUAGACAGGUCCAUAACCACCUUCUCCAAUCUUAUAUUUCUCAGCGAAAAACUCGGUUGCAAGCUCAAUCUCUUCAAUGGAGUACUUCCUAUACCUGACAUCUGAGUUUGCUAAAGCAGUAAGAGCCUUUGUUUUCUCCUCAGACUCCUUUAGAGCUUUCAUUUCCGCGUUGACUCUCUUCUUAGCCUCUAAUUCAGCAAUUCUUUGAGCUGCUUCAGCUGCCUCCAUAGCCGCUUUCGACUUUGCUUUCUCUUUCUCUGCGAUGGCUAAUGCUGCUUCCUCUGCAUGUCUUGCCUCUUCUAGUUUCCUCUCUUCUUCUAACUUCCAACGCUGAAGCUCCGUCGCCUACAAUUACCAAAACAUUUUUUAGAUUUCGAAAACCAUAAACACUUGUUUCAUAGAAACUCUACCUUUUGUUUUGCUGUGAGUGCUUCUUUGCAAGCUGUACUGUACAUUUCCAUAGUCUGCUUCAACUCCAGUUUAAGCCUCCUCAUCUCAGCCUCUACAUCAUCCUGAUUUUGAUAAUUGUCAAAAUGUCAAUAACACUAGUUAAUUAUAGACCGAACACGAUGAUAUUUUAUCGGUCUUACUAUUGAUUGAGAGGCGGAUGAAAAUCUUUCGCUCUCGAGCGAGCCUGUUGAGAAAUCAGUAGGUGAGUUCAAAUCCACUGAUCUCCUUCCAUAGUUGGAAGACUGAUCAAGGUUAGAACUAUAGUCCAUGUCUGAGAAAUUUGACAGCCUAGGAGGAGUUCUGGUUGGAUCAUUGUUGUCAUAUAGAGAAGGGAAGAUACGGUCAAUGCUUGGUCUUCCAGAACUAAUAAAAGAUAUGUCUGAUUCCGGAACAGACAGAUCACCGUAUGAUUUCCCAUUGCCUCUUCUUGUAAAAGGAGAUCUGUGUUUCAUCCAAGGAGAUUUUAGUUUCAAGAUCAUGUCUAAAUGAAAACAUAUACAAGAGUGGUUUUUACCUGAAGGACUCUGAUUGAUCCUCCAUUGACCUCCGUUGUUGAUCCUCCAUAGACCUACGUUGUUGAUCUUCGACAGACCUUCGUUGGUUAGACUCAAAAGACCGUCUCUCAGCUGUAAUAAAUAAGAUGGAAAAUCAAGUUUUAAGGUGAAAUUGACAAGCGAAAGAAGCGGAAAAGCAGAGAAGUUCUGAGUUUUUUUUUUAACAACCUCGCAUACUGUUAGCGAAAGUAGAAGGCAUAGGUUGAGGAGGCUUUAAGCUAGGUGGUUGAACCGGACUGCGUAGAGGAGCAGUCAUGGGUGCAGAACGAGAAGCUGAUCUCAUUGUUUGAAUCUUUCCUUUGGAAAUGAUAUAAACCGUGCAGAAAUCAGGCGCGUUUUUUGUUAUGUUGCCUGGAAUAUCUGUAGGCUUGUUGAACCUGCAAAAUUUAGUAAUCCACCAUUAAUUGAGAAUCAAGGUUCAGCCAGAGAGACAAAGAAGGCAAGGAAGUGAUUAUUUUUGUACCUGAGAAAACCACCUUUGCUAGAGGAACCAACUACUAAAACCUCAAUGGCGGCUUGGUUUACGUAUUCGACCAACGCUUUGGCAACAUCGGACUCCUCAAGCAACACAUCUUGGCAUUGAAUCUAGACAGUUUCAUUCCAAAACACCAUAAGAAUACAAGAGAGACAAACAAAGAAGGAAUCUAAAUCAAGAAUACUAACAUCUUUGCGGGUGCAGAAGCAACGAAAAGGAAGGAAUAACUCCUUGGAAAUGCCUUCUGGAUCUCUGCAUACCAAUGAAGAAUCUUGGCUCAGCUCUGAAACAAAAACACAAAACAAUCAGAAACAAGUAAAACAAAAGACAACAGAGAAGAAAAAAAAAAUGAUAUAGAAGAAUGAUAGGGUUUGUUUACUUGCAGAAGAAGCAUGAAGAGAAGGGCUAUUAUUCAAUGGAGAAGGUCGAAGCUUGACGUGGACGAGAAUGACGGAUUGGCCUCGCUGCAACAAAUGAUCAACAGCCCAUUUAAGAGCGUGUUGGCUGCUUUUGUCUUUGUCUAUUGCAACAGCUACAAUUCCGCUCGAUCCUCCUUCCUUGACUCCCACGUUAUUGUUUUUCGGCAUCCACAUCUUCUUCUCUCUUUCGGUUUCUCUCCUUCAGGAUUCAAGAUUCAGGCCAAUAAAGAAACUUGAGAAGAAGAAAUCGAAAGAGAGAGAGACGUGUUUCGAGGUUCAAAGAUGGUUUCUCUAUUUUUCAUUUUGUUAUUUUGUAAAGAUAGCGAAAUAAGUGGAUGAAGAGAAAAGAGAGUUUCUAUAAAAAUACAUUGUCUCUUGUUUUGUAUCUCUCUCUACGAACGCUUCUCCUUCUUCUCCGCCUCUUGUUUCUUUGACCUCUUGACUUCUCUUUCCUAUUAACUGAAAUUUUCUUCGACAAUUUACAAAACCAAUUUGUGUCUAGAUUAAUUUCCACGCAAGUAACAUACUAACAUAUAAGAUGUGUCCAAACUUACAAAAAAAGUAAAUUAUAUAAAAUGAAAAAGAACACAGUUUUUAUCCAAAGUAAAAGUUAGUUUCCACAUAGACAAUUAAGAAGAUAACGUUGUUACAAGACAAUUCACCAUUAAAAAGAAUAUCAAAAAUACAUUCCAAACCUUUCUAAUAUUACUAAGGAGAGAGUCGAAGUCAAUAUCUUUUAUUUUGUUCUCAUCUCAAACCUUGAAUUUUCUUCUUUUUCAUUUAUACAAGUUUAUUUUUUUACCUUGUGCAAUGUGAAAACCGAGUCAGCAUGGAUAAAGUUUGAUCAGAUUUUUGUGAGAUCUAGUAGUACUAUUCAUAAUAAAUAUUCAGUAUGUUGCAUAAAAACGGAAACGCGGAAGCGAAACGUUUCGGAAACGGGAAACGAUUUUUUUCUAAAAUUAGAGAAUGGCAACGUUUUGGAAACAUCAUUUUGGGAACACGUUUAUGCCACUGUGAUGAACACAUAAUAAAGACUUUCGCAAGAAGAAAACAUUCAUGAUUAACUCUUUAUUUGUUAUGCCUUACUUAAAUCAUGUUUUAAACAUGAAACACGAAACAACCACACAUUUAACAUAGAGAAAAUGCUUCAUUUGUUAUAUCUCAUGAAGAUGUUUAUAUACCCUGAUAUCAAAACUCUAGACCAAGCAUUGUCAAUAGGCAUUUUCUCAAGCUCAUCCAUAUUCGUUCGCGAAGACAUCAAGAAAUGUUUCACUAUGAAUUCUACUAGUUCAAAGUGUUCUUUAAUUGAGAAACCUUUGUUAUUCACAACGUCUUCCAGAAGUUGAUUGAUUAUAUAUUGUUCGAACUGAUGGUAGACAAGAAUGACUCUGUGGCCCAAUGGAUAAGGCGCUGGUCUACGAAACCAGAGAUUCUGGGUUCGAUCCCCAGCAGAGUCGAUUUCUUUUUAUUAUUUUUUUUAAUUGCGAAUUUGUCGAAUCUCAAGAACAAGAAGAUUCUGUUUUUACUUUUUAGUCUCACUCACAUUUCAUAAUCGAAAACUCGCACAAGUCAAGAGGAAGAAGAUGAGUGGUACAGUGGCAAUGCACAGUGUCUUCGUCUACGGUAGUCUCAUGGCGGACGACGUCGUUCGUCUCCUCCUCAACCGUAUCCCUCUAACCGCCUCCGCAACCCUCCCUGAUUUGUACGAUCCCAUCUCUCUCUGUGAGAUCGAUUUUGGCUGUUGAAAUUGAAAAAAAUUGAUUGUGGAUUUUGAGAUUUUCGCAGCCAUAGAUUCAGCAUCAAAGGUCGUGUUUAUCCCGCGAUUCUACCAGCUAAAUCCGAUAAAGUCUCUGGCAAGGUCAGGAUCCGAAUCAGAAUCGUGCUCAUGCCUUUAGGGAUUGGGGAAAUUUUUAUUUGGUUGUUGUGCAGGUGUUAUUUGGAAUCACAGAUCAUGAACUUAAUGUUUUAGAUGAGUUUGAAGAUAUUGAGUAUGAAAGAGAGAAUGUUCAAGUUUUGUUAACAGUGAGUCAAUUUUAGAUCGUUCUUCAUUCAUUUCUAUAGAGAAGAAAAAAGUGUGUUGUUGUUGUUCUUGAACAACAACACAUUUGUUCUCUAUUUUUGAUUUGAAUUCAGAGAUAUUGAAAAUAUAUGUUUCUUCCUUCAAUUCACAGGAUAGCUCAGACGAGAAACUGCAAACGAAAACCUACGUUUGGGCCAAGAAAGAUGAUCCUGACCUUUACGGUACAUGGGAUUUCGAGGUUAGCUACCGUAACUUGUUCUAUUAGGCUCUUUGUCUCUGGAUCAUUACAUGUUUGAAUUGGGUUUCUUUUGUAUUUUGAGAAGGAAUGGAAGCAACUUCACAUGGAAGGUUUCUUGAAGAUGACUAGAGAAUUUGCUGAAGAGUUGAAUUUACCGAAAUCUGAGAUAUGACUCGCUGCCACAUUCGGGUCAGUAGAUGAAAUCUGGUAUAGUUUCCUCAAUAAAUUGGUCAAUAUAUUCUUGGUAUUCUCUCUAGGAAGGGUUAGAUUCUUCUUCAUGAAUACACAUACAUGAGGGCAUUUGGGUUGUGGUAAUACAUCAACUAAACACAUACAUAAGAAAACAGCUGCAGAUUCUUGUGCUGUAUUUUAUUAUUUAUGCAAUCUGGUAUCUGUUGAAGCGGCAACUUUGGAAGAAGGAGAUGCUGAUGCAUCUUCUUUAUCUGAAGCAUUGAUAACAACUUCUCCUCCGUUGCUGCUUCUCCUUUCUGCCAUCUCUAAAGUCACCUUCAACCAAUGCAAUUUGACCCCAAUGGCUCUUAAAAGAGCCUAGAAGCUGGACCAAAUCCUGAGAACACGAGAGUAGAAAUGUAACAAUGAUUAGAUCAACCACAAACUCUUACACCAUAAGAUUCAGUGAGAUUUGGUUUAUCAUCAUUUGUUCUUACUUAAUGAGUAUUUAACUACUUAAGACAAUAACCAUGAACUCUUUAAAAAUACUCUAUCAUCCGAAGAAAGACAAAAGAAAGAUCAAAACCACCUUCCCAAAACAUAUAUGCAUACCAACAGUGCAUAGUUAGAAUUGAGCUUGCUGAGUUACUGAUAUCAGCUAUAGAAAAGUAACAAACACAACACAUAAGCCAGGGGAGCAAAACAAUGCAAAUGCUAAAUGAGAUUUUAAUCGAUUACUACCAAAAUACAAAACAAGAACAGUUAAAAAGAACAGUCGAUGAAAUGCAUCUGAAUCAAAAAGCCACGGUGACAAAACAGAGUGAAGGAAUAAAAAGGAGAAAGCGAAAGGUGAAAGAGCACAUGAUCGUACAAGAACCCAAGCAAGGUUGUUUAUAUGGUUCCUCCCAAGUGUCAUUCGAACCAGCAACAUCUAAGCUUUACGUGAGAUAUUUUACCAGUUGUGCUAUUAGCAUUUGGUGUCACUACGGUUUCAAUCUCCUCAUUGACAAUUAGCGAUGAUUUUUUUUUUACAAAUGUCAACUUCACGUCGCAACCUCAACAUUUUCUCCUUGAAUUUAGCGCACUUUAAAUCCACAACGAUUAUAAGAGGUUGAGCUUAAAUUUUACAUAGAAUCAGUGCCGGCUUAAGACGUGUUAGAGGUGAUGGGGCACAGGUCCAAACUUUAGACUCUAAAAUGGCCCAAAAUUUUUUUUUACAUGUUUAGGUUUUUUUUCUUAAUAUAUUUAGAGAUUUUUUACAUAGUAGUACUGGGUCUAACCAAUGUUUGAGCCGGAUUUACAUAGAAUGUAACUCAUAUCUCUUACCAUUGAAGAAAUGCCCAACUAUUGGUCAAAUAUAAUCAACCGUAAAAAGAAGACGUUAAACAACACCGCAGCUUCGGUGAAGCGUUUGUAGCUGCGGUGUUGUUCCUAGCGGCGGGAUAUUUCUUCAGAUCUGAGAUUCCGGUGGUGCAUCGCCGUGUUUCUCCACAUGUCGCCGUGUUCCUCUUGUGGCAUGGACUCUUCGACGAGCCUUUGGUGUGACGGUUCCUCUCUUCUCGGUCUCUCUACCUUAUUUUUUGUCCAGCUCCGGUGGUGAUGUGUUAGGAUCCGACGGGCGUCUCUUUUGGAGGUAAACCUCGGGGUCUUUGUUGGCGCUCUGGUUUGUUCGUUGCGGUUAGAGAUGUUGUGGUUUGUUGUUGGUGGUGGUCAACAUCUCUCCUCCAUUGGUGGGCUGUAGAGGGUGGCAGCUUCCUCAGCCAUGGUUAUGGUUUUCCCGUGACCAUUUUUCUUCGUCCCUUCGCCUCGUCUUCGGUUGCUCUAAGGUGGAGUUUUGUUGUUCUUGGUGUUGUCGGUGUCGGUUCUUUUUGUGUAGGUGAGCUUUUGGGUGCAUUGGCUAGGUUUGCCGAGGGUUGAAUAGAGGCGGCGAAUAGGUCUAAGUGGCGACGCUAUCUCAUUGAGUUAGUGUAUAAGUCCAUGGUUGCCUAUGCGUUUUUGCGUUAGUUCUCGGAGAAGCUGUAGGCUUCUAUCUCAAGGUUUUGAGGACGGGCUUCGGAUAGAUAUGCUCGUGGCAACUACGAUGAGGAUUCCAGUUCUUCGGUCCUGUGGCAACCACGCAAAUUUCUGAGCUUCGCGGGCUCGGAAUCGGUGUUUCUCCUCGUGAUUUGGCCUUAUGCGCUUUUUAGUAAUCCGAAGCAAUUUGAGUAGUAAUGUUGUUUUUAUUCUGUAGGCUGCUUUUUUCCGUUCCUAGUGUUCCCUGUAAUUUCUGUCAAAAAUAAAAAAUGAUAUAAAAUUUAACCUUUUCCCCAAAAAAAAAAAAAAAAAAAAAAAAAAAAAAAGACGUUAAACAAUGCAGCAUAAACUGACAAAAGAAGGCAUCAAUCAACGACAUAACAAAAUUGUCCGCUUGUCAUUGAAAAGAUGGCAAUCAUAAUAUUUUUUGUUUUGUUUUCGAUGUUGGUAUAUUGAUAGUAAUUUUAAAUUAUUUUCUUAAAUAAUAACUUAAUAAGUAUAAUAUUUUCAAACAAUUUAAUAUACAAAUCAAUAAAAUAUAAAUAUUUUUAUAUUCAGUUGUUUAAGACGUUCAUGUUUUUCUUAUUGGGGAAACAAGAAACAAACUGUUGUCCAAUGAGUGACAUUAACAAUCGCCUUUCAAAGUUUUGCUACAAGAAGAAAAAUAGAUAGAAACGAAUCUAUCUAGCUCAUUGUGGAGCUACAGCUUUCCUCACCAUUGACUUUAUGAUCCCGCAUUGUAGUUGCACCACAGUUUUGGCAUCAUAAUUUUAGAAACCUUCUUCUUCUCAAGAGACUCAACUUCACCUUGUUCAACAUCAUCUCUCCUUGUGUUUGCUUCCCAAGAACCAGUUUCAUAAACUAAACUAAAACCGCACUUCAAUACCUCACAAUUCUUAACCUCACCAAUAUCAUCUGUCACUUGAAAUUUAAUUGAAGCCUUAGUAGGAAAACAACCCUUCUUACCAUCAUCUUCUUGACAUUUCUUGAUAUUCAACCAAUUGGUGUAGCCAAUGAACACAUGAGUAGAUUUGAUCGUGCGAUGCUCAUUCCCUGUCUCGGAUAAACCUCCAACGGGAGAAUUAAAGUAGCUAGAGGAUGUCCUUACAUUAUUGAAGUCACAUAUGCAUUUCACUUGGAGGUUGUUGUUCCGAAUUUUUUGUUCUUCAAACGAGACAAUAGCGCAUAGAGCUAUCCCAACAAAACCAUUUUCACUCCAAUGUCGAGGCAGCUCAGGCUCCAAAACUGCUCCAGAAGAUUUAUGACCAAACCAAUCCGGAACUUCACUUCCAGGAAAGCAAGUGGCAACCAAAGCUUCAAAACAAAGACCCUGAAAAGUAGACCGAAUAGACUUAGCAGAAUUUUAAACUUUAGACUUGCAAGAUUGACUGGACCUCCCAAACCUUGAGAAACUAUGGACCAAGUCCCAGAAUAUUUUGGUUAUAAAAAAUAAGGAGUAAAACUCUAGCAAAAAGAAAUACCUUAUUGUGUCGAUUCAAUGUUUUUGACAGGAGCCGGCCCUUAUUGUGACCAUAGCAUGUGAUUUCAUUCUUUGCGGCGUGCUCUAGUUUUUGACAGUUAGUGAAAAUGAAUGAGGAGGGCACUUGCUCUGUUGCCAAAGGACGUGCUAGCGGACUCGCUACUGUUUUAAGUGAGGUACAAUCAUGCGCAUCUAAGCAUUGAAGAUUUGGUGGUAACAUCGAAAUAGAUUGCAGUUUCGUGCAAUACUUCAAGUCGAUCCAUUUCAAAUGAUAGAGAUCACUAAUACUAGAUUGCAGGCUGAUGAUCAUUUCAUUUCUGCUUAAGCAUAGCCGUCGCAACAAGGAUAGGCCACUCAUACUGGGUGACCGUUGGAGAUUCAUUUGGUCUACCGAGUUAGCACAGCGUAAUAAUAUCUUUGGCAAGUCCCUUAUUUUCGUCCCAUCUAGCAAUAAAAUCUGAAGAUUUUCCAUGUUAUCCUUAAUUUCAGGGAAACUCCUAAGCCUUGAACAGCCAGAGAGUAUUAGUUCUUCAAGAGCCUUCAGCUUGCCGAGACAAUCUGGAAGAGUAUCCAGCAUUUUGCAGUCUUUUAGAUUCAAUACGAUAAGUCUUUGGAGCUCCACGAUCGUCUGGGGAAGGUCCGUGAUUUCGGUGCCAUCUAAAUGUAGAUAUUCAAGAUUUUUAGAUUUCACCUGAAAGUCUUCAAAGCUUGUGCAGCCACUGAGGAUGAGAGUCUUAAGACAGUCAAAAUUCUCCAUCUCUGGAAGAAACGAGAGACUUGUGCAUCCUCUGAGAUUCAAGAAAGCAAGACUCUUCAUAUUUCCUUCAUCUUUUGGAAAUAGUUCAAGAUUAGUGCAACCUUCAAGAUUUAAUCUUUCAAGAGAUUCAGCUUUCCACAAAGCUGACAGGUCGAUCAACUUUGUCGAGUGACUUAAAUCAACCCACUUCAAAUUUGGUGUAUCCUGUGAUGACAAGCACUCAGAAAACAACCACCAAUCAGCUACACUUAAUAGGUUACUUUAGCCAUAUAUUCAAAAUAAGCAGUGAUCAAGAAGAGGACACACCUUCACAUCAUCCCAAACUCGUUCAAUCUUACUGUAUGGCAGCCUGAGAUCAACAAGAUUCUCCGGGUUGAAGUCUGGUGGAAGUUCCAUCGAUGGAAAUUUCAGCCAGUGGAAAUAUCGAAUAUUUUUCAAACACAAUUCAAGUUCAUCGGGCACGUAUACUUUGCAUUCAACAGCUUCAACAACUUUACAUUGCCGAGGACAGCUAGAGUCAAAGAUUUUGAGAUAUCGCAGGUUCGGCAUCAAGGUCAACUUGUUUGUGGCUAUGGCUAUUUCUUCUUUUAGUUUCGACACGUCGAGUAGGAUACCUCUCACAGUAAUAUCUUCGUUUUCCUGUUAACAUGUUAAAACACACAAUAAGUUAGGAAAGUACAUAGCAGAAUGUGAAAUUAACUAGGAAAGACUUGUCAUCAACAUCACGCAAUCUUUUAUAUCAGAGAAGAACAAGAAUCAGUGAAUAGGAUUAAGAUUUAUUUGGUAAAAAACUUAGGUUUAGCAGUUUUGAUUUAUAUUUUUCUAGUCCUUUCCAAAAUUGUUUCUCGGGUGAUAUCAAAAUACGAGCUCUGUGUUUUUGGUGGAAAAAUAUGGAAUCACUAGAAUGUUAAUUGAUGUGGGUGAUCAAUGUCUUUUACUUUCCAUCUAAGAAGCCUUUGAUUUAUUCUAUAAUGAUGUCAUGAAAGCAUAAAUUGAUGAUUCUUACCUCUUUACCGGCCAAAGCUUUAGAUACUGCAUUAUGAUCCCACAGCCUGCUCUUUCUCAGAUUGUCUGCAGAUGCAAAUAAACCAAGUUCUUUGCCCAAUGAACACAGUAUAUCAGGCAUCUCGAUUUGUCCAGCAGAGACACUUAUCAUGAACUUGUGGGCGAGAUCUCCAAUAACCCCUGCAGCUUCAUCAGACUCAUGCGACACUUCGGAAGCUAGUAAAUUUUUUAAACAAUCCUCAUCUUCUGAUCUAAAAAAACAAGCAAUGUCAAGAAACGCAUCUUUUUGUUGAUCAGUCAGUUUGUCAUAACUGAUUUUUAACUCUCUUUUGAUAUUCUCGUUGCAACAAUGCGGCAGUGUUUCUAUUCUUGUUUCCCAAAGAGUCUCGUUUUUACCACAAAGCUCCUUCCCUAACUCCACCAGGGCUAGUGGAUUGCCUCCAGCAUAAUCCACAAACUUUUUGGACAGCUUAGUGAUGUUCUGCGUGGGAGUGUAGUCUUGGUUGUGGAAGGCAUGGUAGUGAAAGAGUUGUAAUGCUUCCUUUUCGUUCAAUCCGGGGACCACGUAAGUAUCGUGGACCACUUCUCCGAUCCAUGACUUGUCGCGCGUUGUAAUCACAAUCUUGCUUCCCUUCUUUACCCGGUGGAGAUUAUCGAGUAGAGACUGUAUUUGUGUCUUCUCGCUCACAUCAUCCAGAAAGAUGAAACUUUUUCUUUUGAAGAUUUUAUCAUCAUCUUUAAUCACCCAAUCCGACCCUUCCUCAUUCUUCGACCUCUCAUGAAUACCGAGAAGCAUCUUGUCUAUAGCUAACCUCUUUUUCCACUUAUCGAAAUGCUUUUGUGCGAGAAUGGUUUUACCAAUCCCGGUCAUUCCAACAAUUCCAAAAAUUUGAGUAACGGCAGGAUCAAAACCAAACCUCUCUUCCAAUUGCUCAAGUCGUUGCUCGUAAGGGGGAAGAGAUGCUAUACAUGUAAGGGGUCUGAUAGGUACAGAGGAAGAGGACCCUUCUCUUCCUCUGUAUUCUGAUAUAAGUAUAGCUUCCACUUCCUUGACACGCUCGAUGAGCUUGGCGAGGAAAUCAGCUUCGGAACUGAAAUACAAAUGAGGAAUAAAAAAAAAUCAAUGGAACUCUUGGAUUAGGAAAUAGUGAGAUGAUCAAACAAAAACUGAGUCCUGAGACGUGACCUUUGUUCCUGGAAUACCAAACCCAUGUUUGAGGGAAUAGCCUCUAAAGCGUCUUCCCAUUGCGGCAUUCUGGGUCUCCUACGGCGACCUUCUCCAUAUAACGCAACACCGAACUCUUUCUUUUGCCCUCUCACGUCCUCAGGCUUCACUUUGAAGAAGAUGGGUAUGACUCUGAGUGUAUCGUUCUCCAUGUUCUUCAUUAUUUCAACCAGCUCGUCCAAGCACCACUCUGACUCUGGGUACCGAUUCGAGAAGAACACCAGUGCGAUUCUCGAUUCCCUGAUCCUCUGGAAAAGGAUCCCAAGAUUUUCGCCCCGGGGCUCUAUUUCGUCGAUAUAGUACCUGAUAUUAUUCGCCAUGAAGGCCUUCUUCAAAUGGUCUAUGAAGCCGUAGCGAAGAUCAGCCCCCCGGAAACUGAGGAACACUUGAGGCUGCCAGUCAGAGAGUAGGUUGUCCUUGGAAGCAGCCUUGGUGGUGAUAAUCGCCAUCGGAGAGUUUUGAUCGGUCAACGUCGAUAAGCUUAUACCAAAUGCUUACUACUCACCGGGUCACCAACUAAUUUCAAUUGAAUAUUAAAAUCAAACCAUGGUAAGAUCUAUUCAACUAUGGUCAGAUUUAGACUUGAUGGAAAAAAAAAGACUUGCUUAUCAUCUUUCACCUAUAAAUAAUCCCAACUCUUAUCAUUAUACUCUUAUUUUACUAAAAAAAGUUUAUCAAUAUUGAUUAAUCACCGCUCGAUAAUGACUGAAACUUUAUUUUUUGUUGUAAUUUAGUUGUUUGCUACCUAAACUCUUAUUAAUUUAAUAAUUUUACCUUGAGUAUUUCUCAUUAUUACGUUUUGUUGUUCGUAUAUGACUUUUAUUUUUUGACGUCUAGAUUUAUUAUUUAUUGCAAAUUAUGAGAACUGUUACAUAGACGAUUCUACAACGGACAAUUCCUUCCGACUCUUAUUAGAUCCACGCAUACGACACUUCCUUCUUCAUGCUUUUGAUGGACACCUUCAAUGAUCUACGACCUGACGACACUUCCAUCUCUGCGUAGAAUCUUGGCGAACGGCUAUAAUUGUACAUCGCUGGAGAUCUCCUACACACUUGCCUCCAUUAAUCUGCAAAUUGGUAAAUAAAUCGCAGUAUCUAGGACUCGAACCCCACACUUCUUGGUGUAGAAGCAUUAAUUAACCCUUAGUCAACCAAUGGGAUAAGGGGGCUUCCACUGUGUUCAUAUAUGACUUAUCAUAUGACUUUUUCUCUUUUUAUUUUUGUGUCUUGUAGUAAGUUGGUAACAUUGACAUGUAAAUUUUUUCAAGUGAUGAGCAUUUGAGACGUUAGACAUACUAAAUAAUUUAAGAUACGACUUUCCUGGCUAUAUGCAAUGUUGUCAGGCCCAGCCCAUAGGACAGGCAAGUGAAGCCACUGAUUCGGGCCUCAAAUUUUGAGGGCCUUUUCAGAUAAAUUUUUUUUAAGUUUUUUCAUAUAUGUUUAUACUAUGGAUUUUUGUGUAGGGCCUUUUUAGAUAAAUAUUGUGGGCUUUUUCAUAUACAAGUAAAACAACUAAAGGCUUAAGUAAAAGAAAUUAUAAACUCUAGAGAAAAGAAAAAAAAAAAAACAACCCUACACUUGUUAAAGUUACUUUAUAAUAUUUUUCUUAGUUUUCUUUAGUUUUUUAAUUUUCUUUUUGACUUCUCUGUUUUUUUUUUGUAAUUGUUUCACAGUUUUAGUUCAUAGCUUUUGCUGGUUAUGUGUUUAAUUUUGUUUUUCUUUUGCUUGUUUCAAUUCGUAGAAAAAUGUCACCACUAGAAGUGUGAUAUGAACAAGGCAUGUUUUUUAGGAAUUGCGUAGGGCACUCAUAUAUGCCGGACCGACACUGAAUGUUGUUCAUAUAUGAUUUAUCAUAUGACUAUCUCUCUUUUUAUUUUUGUGUCUUAUGGUAAGUUGAUAACAUUGACAUGCAAGUUUUUUUAAAUGAUGGACCUCUAAGACGUUAGACAUACCAAAGAAUUCAAGACACGACUUUUCUCUUAUAUGGCUAUAUGCAAUGGUAGAAGAUCUAAAAGUGUUGACUUAAACGACAUUUUAGUUUUUACUUUCUUUUUCUUAUUUUCAUUUGAAAACUCUUAAAAUCUUGUUUAAUUUAUGUCUAUCGAGUAUCUAAUAAUGAGUUUAUCACAAUGUGGUUGGAGUACUAGAUUAGAAGAGUACACAAAACAAGAAAUUGUAUUUAUAAUCAAGUUAGGAAUUUCACAUCACACAAAUAAAUUACAUAUAAUUGUAUAAAAAUAUAUUAUAUUCUUGUUGUAUGUAUUCAUGAUGGUGAAAAAAUAUUAGAAUCUUAGAAAUAUAAAUAAUCAGAUUUAUACAUGAAAAUGUAUAAAUCGAUAUUUCAAGUCAAAAAUAAAUCUAAUCAUAAAAAUUGUAACUACAUAAGAUAAAUUUAAUUUUAUUAACUAUACAAUAAGAAAUAAAAAAAGUAAACAAAAAUUAACAAUAAGAACAAUCAACAUAAUUUGUUCUUAAUAAUUUUUAAAACAAAUCCACGCUACACGUGGGUAUUAAUCUAGUCAUAUGUGAUUGAUCCUUAAUAAAGUGCUCUAAAGAAAGUAAAAAUAAUAACAUAACUAAGGUACGAUUAACCAAAUGCAUGGAGUUUAAUUCUUAGGUUCCCAUUAGUGACGAUAAAAACAAAAAUAAGAAUUGGAAAAGAAAACAAAUGGAAAGUGAACAAAAAGGAAAGGAAAAAUGACUAAAAUGAAGAACAAAGAAGAACUUAUGUAGAUGAAGAAAUGAACAAACGGUUAUAGUAAAUGGUAAUUGUUGUGAACUGAUCAUCUCAUUAAUUGAAUAAGAGAUAUAUAUAUAUACAAGAGUAAUAGAGGGAUACAGAGAAUAAGGUAAAACCCUAAUGGGCCAUGAGCCGGUUAUGGAGUCCAUCCAUAUGGUUUAUAACACUCCCCCUUGGAAGACAUAACCGUGCCCUAUACUAAACCGGGAUCUCUAUAAUGCGCUGGGGAAUGUUGCCUCAUUAAGACCUUACCAGGAAAACCCAGUGGGACAAAACCAUGGUGAAGGAAAAAGAGUACAACACGCAUUACUCCCCCUGAUUUGAGCAUCACUGUAGAUCCUUAAGUCUGCGCAUCCCGAUCUGAUGAAUGAGCUUCCGGAACGUUGAAGUCGGCAAUGAUUUAGUGAAUAGGUCAGCUGAAUUCUCACUUGACCGGAUCUGUUGAACUUUGACCUGACCGUCCUUCUGUAAUUAAUGAGUGAAGAAGAACUUGGGCAGAAUAUGCUUCGUUCGAUCCCCUUUGAUAUAGCCAUCCUUUAGUUGGGCAAUGCAAGCCGCGUUAUCUUCAAACAUAACCGUGGGCUCCUUAUCUUCUUUCAUACCACAAUCUGAUCGGAUGUGCUGAGUCAUGGACCGCAACCAAACACACUCUCUACUGGCUUCGUGAAUGGCUAAAAUUUCCGCAUGGUUAGAUGAGGUUGCAGCGAUUGUCUGCUUCAUAGAUCUCCACGAGAUAGUUGUCCCUCCAUGCGUGAAAACAUAACCAGUCUGUGACCUACCACAGUGCGGAUCCGAUAGAUAUCCUGCAUCAGCAAAACCAACUAACCCAUCCUUGUUGUGGUUAGUGUAAAACAAUCCUAAGUCCUUAGUUCCUUGUAAGUAUCUUAGAACGUGUUUGACACCGUUCCAGUGCCUUUUAGUUGGACAUGAACUAAAACGAGCUAGGAGACUCACGGCAAAACAUAUGUCUGGUCUAGUGUGACUAGCCAAGUACAUUAAUGCUCCUAUGGCACUGAGGUAUGGCAUUUCAAGACCGAGAACUUGUUCAUCGUCCUUCUUUGGACCGAAUGGAUCACUGUCCAAUCCGAGGCUUCUCACAACCAUUGGGCUGGUCAAUGGGUGGGUCUGGUCCAUAUUGAAUCUCUUGAGUACUUUUCCAAUAUAUGCCGAUUGGUGCACAAGGAUUCCAUCAUUCACAUACUCAUGUUGUAGCCCCAAACAGAAUUUAGUUUUGCCUAGGUCUUUCAUUUCAAAUUCGGCUUUUAAGCAUUCUACUGUUUGGGCGAUUUCACCAGAUGUUCCGAGGAUGUUUAAAUCAUCCACGUAUACUGCUAUAUAUGAUCACAAAUCCUUUGUUUGCAAACUUCUUGAUAAAAAUACAUGGACAGAUCGUAUCGUUUUUAUAGCCUUCUCGGAUGAGAUAUUCGCUUAACCGGUUAUACCACAUACGUCCGCUUUGUUUCAGUCCAUAUAAGGAUUUGUUCAGCCUAAUGCAGUGCUGAUCUCGAGAUUCUCUCUUAUCCUUAAGUUCAAUACCAUCUGGUAAUCUCAUAUAAAUCUCAUUAUCCAGUGGUCCAUAAAGAUAGGCGGUUACAACAUCCAUUAACCGCAAAUCUAAAUUUUCUUUUAUGGCCAGACUUAUCAGGAAUCGAAAUGUUGUUGCAUCCACCACAGGAGAAUAAGUCUCUUCAUAAUCGAUUCCAGGUCUUUGUGAGAAUCCUUGUGCUACAAGCCGUGCUUUGUAUCUAACAACUUCACCGAGUGCAUUUCUCUUACGCACAAAGACCCAUUUGUGGCCCACUGGUUUAAUAUUUAAUGGUGUCUUUAAGAUCGGACCAAACACAUUCCUUUUCUUUAAUGAAUUCAACUCCACGUUUAUGGCUUCUUUCCAUUUUAGCCAAUCUGAUCUUUGAGUGCACUCUAAUAUAGACGUGGGUUCAUUAUCCUCAUUCAUUUCAAGUGCUACCUUAUAUGCAAAUAUUUCAUCGAUGUCGACAUCUUUUCGGUUCCAUUGUAUUCCAGACAUGAUAUAAUUGAUUGAGAUCUCAUUGUUAUUAAUCCCUUCGGAACCUUGAGAUUUGGCGUCCCAAACCUCUUGGACCGGUUCACUAGGGUUAAUCUUAGCCGCGGCUAUAUCUGCUAUUUGAGGAAUCCCGCUUUCAACCGUUGCACCUUUCUUUGGUUUCCGGGGAUUCUUAUCUUUGGAACCUAAUGGUCUGCCACGUUUGUUACGUGCUGCAGAUUCUGUAGCAACUUGAGUUUGUCCCUUUUGGACAUCUAUUCGUAUUGGUGCAUUACAAGCUGGUAUGUACGAUUUGGUUACUCUAUUCGGGUCAUCAAAGGAAUCUGGCAAUUGAUUAGCUAGCUUUUGUGAAUGUAUAAUCUUAUGGACCUCUGAUUCAUAUUCUAGAGUCCGAGGAUCUUGCCAUUGUAAGGAUGUUUGAUUCCAUGAAAUUUCUUUAACCAGCUUGUUGGUCUCUCCACCUAAUAUAGGAUAUACCGAUUCAUCAAAUUGGCAAUCUGCAAAUCUGGCCUUAAAGAGGUCUCCUGUGGUCGGCUCAAGAUAUUUGAUAAUGGUGGGAGAAUCAAAUCCAACAUAUAUUCCCAUCCUCCUUUGAGGUCCAAUCUUAGUUCUCUGUGGUGGUGCAAUGGGUACAUAGACUGAACACCCAAAUGUCUUAAGAUGGGAAACGUCUGGCUCAUGACCCGUUAGCAAUUGGGAUGGGGAAUAUCUAUGCUCACUAGAUGGCCGAAUGCAUAUUAGUUCAGCAGCGUGUAAAACUGCAUGUCCCCAAGCUGAGACCGGAAGCUGCGACCUCAUGAGUAAUGGUCGAGCAAUUAGUUGAAUUCGUUUAAUGAGGGAUUCAGCUAAUCCGUUCUGUGUAUGGACAUGUGCCACAAGAUGUUCCACACUUACCCCCAUGGCCAUACAAUAGUCAUUAAACGCUUGGGAAGUGAAUUCACCAGCAUUAUCUAAACAUAUGGUCUUAAGAGGAAAAUUUGGAAAAUGGGCUCGCAAUCUGAUGAUUUGGGCCAAUAACCUAGCAAACGCUUGGUUCCUAGAAGACAAUAGGCAAACAUGCGACCAGCGGGUUGAUGCAUCGAUUAAAACCAUGAAGUACCGAAAUGUUCCACAAGGUGGAUGGAUCGGACCACAUAUGUCUCCUUGAAUUCGUUCCAGAAAAUGUAAGGUCUCUUUAGACACUUUGACUGGUAAAGGUCGAGUGAUAAGCUUCCCUUGUGAACAGGCUAUGCACGUGUGGUGCUUAGGGAAGACUCGGUUUUCUUUAAGGGUGUGCCCUUUAGAACUUUGAAUUAAUUUACGCAUCAUAUUCGAACCGGGAUGACCAAGCCGGUCGUGCCAAAUAGUGUAAUCUUUAAACCGUGCUUCAAUAGCAACAUUAGCCUCAAUCAUACUGAACUUAGCAUAGUAAAGGCCAGUGGAUAAUGCGGGUAUAGUCUCAAGCACUUGUUUAUGGCCGUGUGUAAUUUUAGUAAUCAAUAGGGAUUCUUUGUUCCCCUCACCCUGAGUUUCAAUGUGGAAACCAUUUUGCCUUAUAUCUUUGAAACUCAAUAGAUUUCUCUUAGAACUGGGUGAGUAUAGAGCAUCUAGUAUUUCUAGAUGUGUGCCCUGAGAUAACAACACAUGGGCUUGGCCAUGGCCUUCUAUUAGGCUCGAUGUACCCGCUAUUGUGCUAAUGUUUGCGGUUUUUAAUGUGAGAUUUAUGAAGUAACUCUUGUCUUUCAAUAUGGUGUGGCUGGAUCCACUAUCCACCACAAUGAUAUUCUUGUUUUCGUUCAUAACUUCAACUGACAAGAGGUGUGACUUAGAUAAGUAUAUAAAGCAAAAACCAUUGCAUUGAUAAUAAAUGAAACAUAACGAGUUCAUCAAAAAUAAAUGAAACAUAACCAAUUGAAAUCUUCAAGUCUUAAAAUAAAUCAAAAACAAAAGCCAAAUCCAUCAAAACAAAGCAAGUAUCCAGAUGUCGAAUUUAAUUAUCUCCUUUCAGGAGGUCCAAGGUCUCGAAAUCCAUGAGAUCGUCAUUUUCAUGGUUGAAGUCACCUUCAUCAUCGUGGUGGACCAUAUUAGCUUCGGGAUUCACUUUCCCAUGUUUUUGAUAGAGAUCACAAAGGAACUUAGGAGUGCGACACGUCUUCGUCCAAUGAUUUGUCAUUCCACAUCGGAGGCAAGGUGAUUGAUUGGUCGAGCGGGUUGAGUGAGAUGGUUUGGAGAUCCCGCGACCUCUACCACGACCAUAACUGAGGUUAGGUCAGUUGCCUCGGCCUGAAUUACCGUGGAAAUUUCCACGGCCAUUGCCACGUCGACCACGUCCAUUUACACGACCAUGGCCGGAGUUUCUGUCAUGUUGGGCAUAGUUGGAUUCCUUUGUGUCUUUCAUGGCUCCUUCAACUCGAUGGGCCUCUGGUAUCGGUGCUAAUCCCGGGGGUCUUUGAGCACUGUUCCUCAUUAGUAACUCAUUAUUCUUCUCGGCAAGAAGUAAACAAGAGAUCAAAUCCUCAUAUUUCGUGAAUUUCAUUGCACAGUAUUGUUGCUGAAGCAUGAUGUCUCUGUAUUUUGCCACUUUUAAGCACACUUUUCUCGUACAUUUAGCUAAGUUUCAUCUUUCUUUCAUUGCAUCCAGAGUCCUUUUCAUAACAUUUUCAUCACUUAGUACGAUUUGCAUUGCAUGGCAUAGCAUAUUGCAUAUUGGAUAUGUUUCAGGUAUUUGGAGCUUAUUUGGGACUUAAUGGAUGCAAAGAAGAGAAUUGAUGAUUCAGAGCCAGUCUGAAGUCCCUCAAAGAUCGACUCAGAUGGAAGUCUUUCAUUGCGAUUUAGCUUCAGAGCUCUUCAUACAAGUUAUAGGAAAUUGAGUUACCUUUCCAACGGAGGUGAUAUCAAGCGAAUCAGAGCUUUGAUGCAGGAAUUAUGGUGGUUUUAAUGGAGACAUAUGCAGAAAACUGGUUGGACUCGACAGGAGGUCGAGCAGGCGCUCAGAAACCACCAAGGGUUGGACUCGACCACACCAACUCGACGUGAGGUCGAGUAGGACACCAUCAAGGAGCACCCUUUGAAGAAUCACUCCCCCUCGACCACAUGGACUCGACGACACGUCGAGUAGGACGUCAGGAAGCUGUCUGGACACGGACUCGACCACGCAGGCUCGACGUCACGUCGAGUUGGUCUCUGCCGACUCUCUAUUUUGUCUUGUAGCUAAUUAGGGCAACCUAGUAUUCCUAUAAAUAGGGGUACACGCUUUUAUCCAGAGGAUAUUUCUUUUACCCAGCAGAUAUUCCGCUGUUCUCUCAUAAACCCUAGUUUUUGUAAUCGUUUUUCCUGUUGAUCUUUUGAGUUUUUGCAUUUCUUUUCUUCAUCAAAGUUGUAGAUCUGUCUCUUAUCUAUAACAUACUUGCUUUUCAAUGAUUUCUGGGUUUGAAACGUUUUCUGGGUUUUUAUGCAUGAUGUUCUUUAGUGUUCUUGAGUAGUGGAUUAGGGUUCUUGAGGAUGAGUUAGAUUAGGUGUGGAAUCCUUAGUAUAUUUAGGUGGUUAAGUGUAGGAUUGCUUGAUUUCCCUUCUGGUUUAGUAGAUCUUAAUGCUAUUUUCUCUCUGAUCAAUUGGAAGUUGAUCUCAGAUAUUUCCACACCCAAAAGGUGUUUGAUGAAAUGUCUGAACCAACCAUUCCAGAGAUUUGCAUACUCUAGCCCAAGAGAUUGGAUGUUUAGAAUGCUUAUUGACUUUAUUAGAUUGAAUCUUAAUGUCUGCUAGGUUAUAUUUCUUCAAUGAGAAUUGAGUAUGAAAGUGAUUUAGCUUGAGAAUCUCUGUCACGAGAGUGGAUUGAUUUGUAUUCGAAUCUAUUGUCUAGGGAUAACUUGAUUGAGUUUGUUAACCACCUAGGUAGACUAAGGAGACUGCCUUAAUCGAUUACCCCAUUCCUCAGGACCUUUUAUCUCUAUUGAUUGUUUAAAUCUUGUUUCUGUUAGUUUGUGUUCUACUCGACCUGUUAGGCUUAGAUCGUCUCUCUGCUUUGUUAGGUUGAUAGUUUCUUUUCCAAAGCUUACGCAUGAUAGUUUCUGGUCUUUAGUUUACUUCUUGCUCUUGUUUACUUGCUGUUUAGUUCUCUUUUUAUGCUUUUAAAUUCGGUAUUUGCAUGUUAAAUUGGUUGCUUAGGUUGAAUAGAAACACACAAAACCUUUUCACAAUUGGCUUGACUUAUUUGCUUUCUGUUUCAUAUCUUGAAUGCUUGCAGUCACACUGAGAUUGGAUUGAUAACCUAAUAUACUACAAUGGCAUGUGUAUUAGGGAUUGAUACUUGUUAGAUAGAGCAAAAUCUAUUAUCAAAGCACAAUGUUUUGAGUGUGAAAGGUUGACAAUGUCUUUUCAAGUAGAUCAUUAUCAGACACUUCAUCGCCACAAAGUUUCAUGAGUGAAACGAUCCGAAACAACUCGGAGUUGUAGGCGUCUACGGAUUUGAAAUCUAGAAACCUUAAGUUUUUCCAAUCGAACUUGGCUUGGGGCAACAACACCGUUUUCUGGUGGUCAUACCUCUUUUUCAAUGCCACCAAAAGUUCAAGUGGAUUCUUAAGCGUGAGAUAUUGAUUCUUAAGGUUGUCGACUAGGUGAUGGCGUAUAUGAAAAAUUGCCUGAAACUAAUCUUUUGUAGAUGCGGUAUUGCCAUCAAUGAUGCAUUCACCUAGCCCCUUUGAGUUUAGGAAUAUUUUAGUAUCAAGGGCCCACUGGAGAUAGUUAUCUCCCGAGACAUUGAGUGCCUCAAAUUCGACCUUCUGGAUGUUCGACAGUUGAAUCACACAAGCAAACAUGUAAUUUC
Molecule: long non-coding RNA, 40121 nt
Filed under: Arabidopsis lyrata
Lineage: Eukaryota; Viridiplantae; Streptophyta; Magnoliopsida; Brassicales; Brassicaceae
Description: long non-coding RNA (ALYR_LNC001907)
Rfam family: tRNA (bases 23034-23106)
Source: RNAcentral